GUCUAUGGCCACACCGCCCUGAACAUGCCUAAUUUUGUCUACUCUUGGAAGCUAAGCAGGGUCAGGCCUGGUUAGUACUUAGAUGGGAGAAUAUGACCCAUAAUAAGGAGAUGGAGAAA
RNAcentral lists this ribosomal RNA (119 nucleotides) under Prolemur simus (greater bamboo lemur). Lineage: Eukaryota; Metazoa; Chordata; Mammalia; Primates; Lemuridae. The record is from RNAcentral.